This 460-nucleotide ribosomal RNA is filed under the name uncultured bacterium. RNAcentral's name for it is "partial 16S ribosomal RNA". It matches the Rfam family "Bacterial small subunit ribosomal RNA", at positions 338 to 795 of the family's 1533-position model. The record is from RNAcentral.
CCUACGGGAGGCAGCAGUGAGGAAUAUUGGUCAAUGGACGAGAGUCUGAACCAGCCAAGUAGCGUGAAGGAUGACUGCCCUAUGGGUUGUAAACUUCUUUUAUAUGGGAAUAAAAUGUUCCACGUGUGGGAUUUUGUAUGUACCAUAUGAAUAAGGAUCGGCUAACUCCGUGCCAGCAGCCGCGGUAAUACGGAGGAUCCGAGCGUUAUCCGGAUUUAUUGGGUUUAAAGGGAGCGUAGGUGGAUUGUUAAGUCAGUUGUGAAAGUUUGCGGCUCAACCGUAAAAUUGCAGUUGAAACUGGCAGUCUUGAGUACAGUAGAGGUGGGCGGAAGUCGUGGUGUAGCGGUGAAAUGCUUAGAUAUCACGAAGAGCUCCGAUUGCGAAGGCAGUUCACUGGACUGCAACUGACACUGAGGCUCGAAAGUGUGGGUAUCAAACAGGAUUAGAUACCCGAGUAGUC